GGGUCGCAAAGAUGGACAGGUGGGACCAUGAAGUUAAACAGCUCCACGAGCAUGCUUUGAGUGUCUACUAUGUGCUGGGCUCUAAGGAUAUGGAAACAAAUUAUGAAGAGUUAUCAACUUGGAGCCAAUUGUGUUUCAUCUAGGCCCCCCACACUUUCAGAUGUCAGUAGUAUGUUAAAGCAAAUUCCAGAUGUCUUGUCAUUUUAUCUGUACAUCACUCAAUAUGUUAAUCUAAAAUAUAAGGAUACUUCGAAAAAUGUGAACACGAGUCUACUUUCAGGGAAGGUGGAGUAGCAGGGAUUGAAUUUAUCCUCCUGCCUGAAACAACAACAAUAACAACAAAAGAAAAAAAAAUACGUGAAAGAGUUUUUGAAGUUUCUAGACAUCAGGCAAUGAGGGACAGUGACACCUGAAGCAAGCAAGUUGAAGCCAUUGCCAGAGCUUAUUGCCUUGAGGAAGUCCAGGUGUGACCAGGGAGGAGGAACACAAGAGGAGCCUGAUGGACUUCCAGAGCAGGGCUUUGUGAAAAUUAAUAAUUUGAUUAUAGAAUUCAAAUGGAAGUGCAAAUGACUUGGAAUAGCCAAAACAACUUUGAAAAAGAAGAGCAAACUUGAGCCUGGGAGGUCAAGGCUGCAGUGAGCCAUGAUCAUGUUACUUCACUCCAGUCUGGGCAAUAGAGGGAGGCCCUGUCUCAAAAAUAAACAAAAUUAGAAGAGCAAAGUUGGAGGAGUAGCCUUACAUGAUUUCAAGACAUUAUACAGCAAAGACAUGGAACCAAUGCAAAAGCCCAUGAAUAGUAGACUAGAUAAAGAAAAUGUGCUACGUACACACCAUGGAAUACUAUGCAGACAUAAGAAGAAUGAGAUCAUGUCCUUUGCAGGAACAUGGAUGGAGCUGGAAGUCAUCAACCUUAGCAAACUAACUCAGGAACAGAAAACCAAAUACCUCAUGUUCUCACUUAUAAGUGGGAGCUAAAUGAGGAGAGCGCAUGGACACAUAGAGGGGAA
RNAcentral lists this long non-coding RNA (1007 nucleotides) under Homo sapiens (human). RNAcentral's name for it is "HSALNT0008366". Lineage: Eukaryota; Metazoa; Chordata; Mammalia; Primates; Hominidae. The record is from RNAcentral.